This 399-nucleotide ribosomal RNA is filed under the name Triticum aestivum (bread wheat). RNAcentral describes it as "partial small subunit ribosomal RNA". Lineage: Eukaryota; Viridiplantae; Streptophyta; Magnoliopsida; Poales; Poaceae. The record is from RNAcentral.
CAUCGACGGGGAUGGCCUAACUGCAAUACUUGCCCCUUAUGCAUGCAAGUUCAAGAGUCCGCGGCCCAUCUCCUUUUUCAAUGUCGCUACACCAUUAGGGUCUGGGGAAUGAUCAAAUCUUGGCUCGGCUUACUUGAUGUGCACCCAUCGGCCUGGGUGGCUCUGGACUCAGUGAAGGAUUGGUGGAACCUAAUUGCUUCCAACAUGUCGCAAUCCCGGCGGGCGAUGAUGUCUCUCAUUAUGCUUAUCUCGUGGGAAGUUUGGAAGGAGAGAAAUGCUCGAGUCUUCCGCCACACCGUGGUGCCUGUAGGGGUUCUUGUUGCUAGAAUUAAAGAGGAGACAAAGCUGUGGUGUCUUGCGGGAGCAAAAUCUUUGAGUAAUGUAAUGCCACAAGAGUAA